RNAcentral lists this ribosomal RNA (253 nucleotides) under uncultured bacterium. RNAcentral describes it as "partial 16S ribosomal RNA". It matches the Rfam family "Bacterial small subunit ribosomal RNA", at positions 524 to 776 of the family's 1533-position model. The record is from RNAcentral.
UACGUAGGUGACAAGCGUUAUCCGGAUUUACUGGGCGUAAAGGGAGCGUAGGCGGAUAAUUAAGUGGGAUGUGAAAUACCCGGGCUCAACCUGGGUGCUGCAUUCCAAACUGGUUAUCUAGAGUGCAGGAGAGGAGAGUGGAAUUCCUAGUGUAGCGGUGAAAUGCGUAGAGAUUAGGAAGAACACCAGUGGCGAAGGCGACUCUCUGGACUGUAACUGACGCUGAGGCUCGAAAGCGUGGGGAGCAAACAGG